AGUUCUAUAACUGUGGGCCUCUAAAGACAAUAAAGCGGAGAGAAAGAGAAACAGCUCUGCGGUCUUCUAAGGAGAAAUAUUAGCUGAUCUGCUGAAGAAAGGAUUGAUCUUCUAUUGCAAGAUUUCCUUCUGCUAAUUUCCCUGCACAAACAUCACCAAAAGGAAUACCUCAUAUUGCUAACAUUAGAAAAGAUUAAAUGUGAGGAUAUGGUGUCCAAAAGCUCCAGGACUCGUCAAAGAUCCGCUGCUGCUCUCAGGACAAAGACACCUUGCAGAAGAACACAAAAGAUUGAAGACAAAGAAAGGCCACACCACUGUUCACAGUGUGGAAAGAGUUUUACUUUAAAGACAGAUCUCCAAAGACAUGAGCGCAUUCACACUGGAGAGAAACCCUUUCCCUGCUCAGAGUGUGGGAAGAGUUUUAGUUUAAAGAGUUAUCUCCAAAGGCACCAGGGCAUUCAUACAGGAGAUAAACCGUAUCACUGUUCAGAAUGUGGAAAGCGUUUUAAUACAAAGAAUAAUCUCGAAAUACACCAGCGCAUUCACACAGGAGAAAAACUGUGUUACUGUUCAGACUGCGGAAAGAGUUUUACUACACAGAGCAAUCUCCAGAUACACCAGCGAGUGCACACAGGAGAGAAACCGUAUCACUGCUCAGAGUGUGGACAGAAUUUUAGUCAGCGUAGUACUCUCCAACUACACCGGCGCAUUCACACAGGUGAUAAACCAUAUCACUGCUCAGAGUGUGGAAAGAGUUUUAAUAGACAAAGUAAUCUCCAAAUACAUCAGCGCUUUCACACAGGAGAUAAACCAUAUUACUGUUCAGAGUGUGGAAAGAGUUUUACUUUGCUGAGUCAUCUCCAAAGACACCAGCGCAUUCACACAGGAGAGAAACCGUAUCACUGCUCAAAGUGUGGAAAGAGUUUUACUCAACAAAAUAAUCUCAUAUCACACCAGCGCACUCACACGGGAGAGAAGCUGUAUCGUUGCUCAGAGUGUGGAAAGAGUUUCACAGAAAGAGGUACCCUCAAGAAACACCAGCGCAUUCACACUGGAGAGAAACCGUAUCACUGCUCAGAGUGUGGACAGAGUUUUAGAGAAAGUGGUACCCUCAAGAAACACCAGCGCAUUCAUACUGGAGAGAAACCGUAUCACUGCUCAGAGUGUGGAAAGUAUUUUAGUCAGCUGAUUCAUCUCCAAACACACCAGCGUGUUCACACAGGAGUAAAACCGUAUCACUGUUCAGAUUGUGGACAGAGUUUUACUGUACAGAGCAAUCUCAAAACACACCAGCGCAUUCACGCAGGAGGGGAAUCGUAUCACUGCCCAGAGUGUGGGAAAACCUUCAGAAAUUCAAGAAGUGUGAAGAAACACAAAUGCAUUAAGAGAUAGGAGGUUUGAGAUCUGAAGAGACCUGGUCUACCUUUUACCAUCUUUGUAAGAAGGCAUUCUCAGUACAUCCAAGCCUCUUCCCAAACAUGCAGUGUCUGACUCUUUUCCAGUGAUUCAGCUCAGGAAAAAUAAAAGUUCAUCCAACAAUCAGUAAGCUUUUCAAGCCCAAGCAGUCAAACAGCUGUAGUUACAUCUUCGGAUUCCAAAAAAAUAAAAAGCCACCAACCACAACCAGCUCCGCGGGGCCAAGUGAGAAGAAAAUAGUCCUGAUUGAAACCUCCCUCUGAUAUACACAGUACUUCAACCCCUAAGGACACAAGGAUAAGAUGGGAGGACUGAGGAAUCAACACCAAACAUAUUUACCACAUGAAAUUCACUCAGUCAUCACUUUCAUCCCCUGUAACUUGGCUUAAAUGAUCUGCCAACAAUAAAUGCUUAUUAUUAACUAACUUUUCAAAUAAGCAUGCUUUACUGAAAUCCAAACACAUCAACAAUAUUGGAACAGCUGGAAUGCAAAGACACACAGUAUUGGAUUGGGAAACCACAAACAUCACAAUUUCACAAAAAGACACUUUUCCAUUAACAUUAAAAUAGGAAUUUGACAGGACAGUCAUAACAUCCUGUGAGAUGUCAUGUUGUUUGUGUAAUUAUGUAUUU
RNA transcript from Colossoma macropomum (tambaqui), 2049 nucleotides. It is a transcript of the gene named zinc finger protein 239-like, with no coding region annotated. The transcript has 4 exons. NCBI's taxonomy places the organism in Eukaryota, Metazoa, Chordata, Actinopteri, Characiformes, Serrasalmidae. The record is from RefSeq and is a predicted model, not a curated record.